GCCGGGGUGGCCGAGAUCGGACCAAGGUGCCCGCCUUGAGAGCGGGUGGCCCUCCGGGCCGCGAGGGUUCAAAUCCCUCCCCCGGCG
Candidatus Korarchaeum cryptofilum OPF8 is the source of this 87-nucleotide transfer RNA. It matches the Rfam family "tRNA". From Rfam's summary of the family: Transfer RNA (tRNA) molecules are approximately 80 nucleotides in length. Their secondary structure includes four short double-helical elements and three loops (D, anti-codon, and T loops). Lineage: Archaea; Thermoproteati; Thermoproteota; Candidatus Korarchaeia; Candidatus Korarchaeales; Candidatus Korarchaeaceae. The record is from Rfam.